UACGUAGGGUGCGAGCGUUAAUCGGAAUUACUGGGCGUAAAGCGUGCGCAGGCGGGCUUUUAAGCCAGACGUGAAAUCCCCGGGCUUAACCUGGGAAUGGCGUUUGGGACUGGAAGUCUGGAGUGCGGCAGAGGAGACUGGAAUUCCUGGUGUAGCAGUGAAAUGCGUCGAUAUCAGGAGGAACACCGAUGGCGAAGGCAGGUCUCUGGGCUGACACUGACGCUCAUGCACGAAAGCGUGGGCAGCAAACAGG
Molecule: ribosomal RNA, 253 nt
Filed under: uncultured bacterium
Lineage: Bacteria
Description: partial 16S ribosomal RNA
Rfam family: Bacterial small subunit ribosomal RNA
Source: RNAcentral